GACGAACGCUGGCGGCGUGCUUAACACGUGCAAGUCGAACGGAAAGGCCCUGCUUUUGUGGGGUGCUCGAGUGGCGAACGGGUGAGUAACACGUGAGUAACCUGCCCUUGACUUUGGGAUAACUUCAGGAAACUGGGGCUAAUACCGGAUAGGAGCUCCUGCUGCAUGGUGGGGGUUGGAAAGUUUCGGCGGUUGGGGAUGGACUCGCGGCUUAUCAGCUUGUUGGUGGGGUAGUGGCUUACCAAGGCUUUGACGGGUAGCCGGCCUGAGAGGGUGACCGGCCACAUUGGGACUGAGUUACGGCCCAGACUCCUCCGGGAGGCAGCAGUGGGGAAUAUUGCACAAUGGGCGGAAGCCUGAUGCAGCAACGCCGCGUGCGGGAUGACGGCCUUCGGGUUGUAAACCGCUUUCGCCUGUGACGAAGCGUGAGUGACGGUAAUGGGUAAAGAAGCACCGGCUAACUACGU
This 467-nucleotide ribosomal RNA is filed under the name uncultured bacterium. RNAcentral's name for it is "partial 16S ribosomal RNA". It matches the Rfam family "Bacterial small subunit ribosomal RNA", at positions 28 to 506 of the family's 1533-position model. The record is from RNAcentral.